UUUUAAAUAAAAUUGUUUUUUCAAUAGUUAUUCUUAGCUUUAUAUGCAAAAUGAGGUGGUCUGUGUGGUACUAUAUUAUAUUAUUUACUUGAGAAGAUUGGACUGUAGUAUCAGUUUCUCCAAGUGAUUGUUCAUUCUGCAACUUCUGUAAUAAGAUCAAAAUUAUUAAAUACAUGUAUCACUAAGUAAGGGCUUAGACUAUAAAUUUGAAAUGGCGCCUGCAAAUUACUUACUCCUGAUUUUGUUGGUAGUAUUGCUAAAUCUGGAACAUUUUCAACAAAUUCAUGCUCUGUCUCUAGUGUUUGUUUCAUUUGAAUCUGUACAAUAAAUAGCAUGUUUGAUUCAAAGACAUAGUCAUGGUGAUUAUUAUUAAAAUUAUUAAUUUCAUGUAUUACUAUAAGUAUGGGUUUAGACUAUAAAUCUGACAUGGCCUGAAAAUUACUUACUUUUGAGUUUGUUGGUAGUAUUGCUAAAUCUUCUACUUUUUGAGAAGGAUCCCCUGAGAGAAUUAUUAUGCCAAUUUGAGCACAACAAAUUAAUUAAAAAUAAAACAUAGAUGCAAUAAGAAAUGUGCUGUU
Molecule: long non-coding RNA, 578 nt
Filed under: Trifolium pratense (red clover)
Lineage: Eukaryota; Viridiplantae; Streptophyta; Magnoliopsida; Fabales; Fabaceae
Description: long non-coding RNA (TPRA_LNC009641)
Source: RNAcentral